GGUACGUUGCCCAAUCUGUCGUGAGAGCUUUGCUCUCAUACUUGAGGGACAGCAACUGCAAAAUUCAAGAAAAUGUACUGGAUAAUAAAGAUGGACACCUAUAAGCAUCAUGUUUACAAGACUUUCAUUUCAUACAUCGUGAUUGUUGAAUAUCUAUUAAGCAAGAUAUGUUGGCGAUUCGUCCAUUUACUCAUUUUAUUGUAAGUAUUUUGUUUGUUUUCCUUGAAAUAGCUGUCAACGCUCAGAAAAAAAUCCCAACCACAGGGCUCCAUAUAGACUUUCGCAAAGUCCGUUUUCUUUUUGAGGGUCUAGGAGGGGAAAAAAGAAGAAGGGGGAAACGGAACUGAGGGGUCUAAAGAAGUAAUAUUGUGGCAAGUCUAGAUAUAGGGAUGUUCGGUUUGAUAAAUUUCCGGUACCUAGCUGUAUACGGAAAUAAUUAUACCGGUAUUAUCAUUAUACCCGUCUUUUGGACGAAUUUCAGAGCAUAUCAUCAGAAAUUUCGGUAAAUGUACCGAUAUUUGUGGCGGUAUAUGUAGCCUAUAUCGGUAUACCAAACAUGGAACGGUUAAUUAUUGUUAGGCUGAGGUCCAUUCGGGUAAUCACAUCAUAUUGACUGUAUUUUCUUUUAAUCUUUUAAUUAAUUAUAUGGUAUUUUAUCUGCGUGGAUACAAAUAUUCUUCUUUUUAUUUAUUUAGAUCCGGACUCACAUUUGAGCUUCAUAUUUUUUUUCUUCUUUAUAUUAUAAGUAUACUUCUUAGAAUAUAAUCUUAAGCAUAUAUAACCAGGGGAAUAAGCACAUAAAUAAUAAGGGGAAUUAUUGUAGUGAACUCUGGCUCUGUUGUAGGAAAUAAAUCGCAGAUAGCUUAUUAUGAUGGAUUAGGUUGAACUAACAUUAACAAUGCCUUUGGAAAUCUCAAGAGAUUGAUUGCAGACCAACAAUACUACAUUUAAGACCGAAAGAAUAACAACCCAUAAUUUUCGAAUUUAGCACCCCGUUUAUAUGGACUGACUACACUCAAAAAUACGCUGUGGUUAAAAAUGUCCAGGUUAAUCUAAAAACAACACUAUUUGGAGUGACUUCAGGCUUGUCAUCUCGCCUUGGUAUGAAAAUAUAAAAAGUUACACUGCUUUAUAUUUGAGACAAAAAGUUUUCCAGUGUACCGAGAUCUCGCUUGUUGACAGGCGAGAUCUCGGUGACCGGGAUAAUGGUUUUCCCAAAUGAACACAACUUUCCCGCUUACCGGGAUAACUUUCGGUCGUGUCAGCAACUUUUCAAUUCAAUUCUUGUUCAGUGCUACGUCACAGUCGGAAACUUUACCCGGUAAGCGGAAUAAAGUUUCUCCAUGUGAUCAGAACAAAAGUAUUUGGCUAGUCGAAAAGUUUUCUCCUAACCGGGAUAACUUUUGCCCAUAUGAACAGGCCCUUAAUGUUACUGGUUAAAUUAAUGGUUAAUUUGAUCAUAGUUCUGGCUAACUUAACAAGAAUUCUAUGCGAGAACCUCUGGCAACCAGGAUACAAGAAUUAGCUUAAUUUAACCAGGUUAUAGGGUUGAAUUGUUUUACCAGUGUUUUUAGAGUGUACCGUCUCUGGGGGCGUGCCUUUUUCGAGUGUUUUGCGCAAUUGAACAUUUGUUUAAAUGAGAAAACAAGAAAUGAGUUGAAGGAAUAUUUUAUAGAUGUCUCUUAACUGCAAUGACAAAAGAAACCCGUCCGAACAAAUGAAUAAUAACUUUACAAUUCGUAUUACGUUUCCUGUAUCGGAAUACACACACGUAUAAAAACGCACAAGUGGUAAGAAACAGCAGCAGACUUGUAACAAUGCUAUAUGGUAAACGGGAUGUGUUUCGGUACUGCCUGUUCCCAGCUUCACGACAAGUUGCCAACGGCUUGUAUAUGACAAGUUCAUACAAGGUUGUCGAGCUCCACAAACUUGUUACAAGUUAUUCCAACAAGUUGUCAUCGUCCUGCACUGACAAACUUGUAGCAACUCGAUAAAAUAACAGCGUUGUUACAACUUAAUUGUUGACAUGCAAGCUUGUUACAAAACUUGUUACAAGUCUAUUGCGAACACUCAACACAUCUUGUUGACAAGUUGUGCGAUUUUUACUUAUUAUGAUUUAAAUAGCAUAAAUAUAGAUGGCAUGCAUGAAGUAUGUUUAAUGCUAUACUAUCGAUGUUAAUUUCACCUAAACCAGCCUUGACUAGAUUUGAUAAUAACUAGAUUUGCACAUAUCAAGAAGAAUUUUGCCAAUAACUAAUUGUAGGCUAACUUUAUUUUAUAUUUGCUUAGCGUAAAUGCCUAUAACUCCCAUGGUGAAAUAUUUUCAGUGCAUUUGUUCCACAUGUGACAACCAUCAAAUCCUAUUCUAAAUUUUGACCAGCUCGCGGAAAGGAACAAAAGGUUUAGGUUUUCCUUUAAAAAUACCUAUAAACAGUGCCUGAAAAGCUAUAACAAAUAAUUCAACUAAACACAUUUAAAUUUGCAAAAUACUGAAUUAUUGAACUAUGGGCUAUAGGUGCAAUAUAGUUAAAAGUAUAACUAAUUAGAAUAAUUCGUAAACGUCCUUUUGUAAUGAAAAUACUUAAGUGGAAUUAAUCCUAUAUAUACAUUUUGGAUUUGUUACUAAAUUUGUAAUGAUUCGUGUUUUUCAUUGCUAGUAAAUAUAUUUACAAUUAAGUAUCAAACAUGCAGAGUCAUAAUCAUUUCAUAUUAGUUCGGCUUCAGAUCCUAGGGUGUAUCACUCCAUAAAAGAGUAGGACAUGUUUGGGAAAUUUUAGGAUCGGUUAGUAUUGGCAGAGAUUUUUAGGGAUUUCAUAAAGAUUUUUUAGGAAUUUCAUAAAGAUUCUUCAGGAAUUUUUAAAAAAGAUUUUCAGGGUUUUCUUCGAUGUGUACGAGAUAUUCUAAGUGACAUAUCCUUCAGUUAGAUCUCUGGGAAUCUAAUCAUGUCUUGUCCUGUUUUAGGCAGCAAACAGAAAGCAAGAUCCGUAUACACGAAAUGCUUGGGAUAAAACACGGAUCCGGAAUUGCGGAAACGGAAUAGCGGAAUUCGGGGAUAAAACGCGGAAAGGACAAAGUUCGCCGUCUUUUAAUGCCGACAACCAGAACACCUACAGUUUAUAACACAAAGCUUCACACAAAAACUCCUUAGCAAUUAUUAGCCUUUUAAAUUAAAAGACUUUCCCUUCUUUCAGAAUGAACGAAAGAAUGAAAUAAUUUUCGAUUUUUAAGACUGCCUUUCAAUUUAAAAGACAGGAAAUUACAGGUUUAUCAGGAGAAUCGCUGACUUGGCGUCUGACUGACCACAGUUAUUUUAAUAGAUGGUUUGGAGGCUCGAUGAAAGUACAAUAUAACUCAUUAACAAUGUUAUUGUCCAGCUUUAUGCAAGAAUUUGGUCCUAUCUCGUCACGUGUGUAUUGUAUUAUCGCUCAAAUAACCAAUAACAAGUUUGUGGUUGAGUUAUCCAUCCGUAACUUGAACAAAUGCUCAAUUUAAACAUUGCUAUUGGUUGUGCGGGAAAAAUACAAUACACACGUGACGAAAUAGGCCCAAAUUCUUGCAUAAACCGAAACCAACAUAGUUAAUGAGUUAUAUUGUACUUUCAUCGAGUCUCCAAACC
Non-coding RNA from Paramuricea clavata, 3616 nucleotides. NCBI's taxonomy places the organism in Eukaryota, Metazoa, Cnidaria, Anthozoa, Malacalcyonacea, Plexauridae. The record is from the annotation of a GenBank genome assembly.